UCAUAAGCUGUGAAAAAGUUAAAAGAAGAAAGAGUAAAAGUCCGCUAUUACUUUGUAUGAAUGUGUGAGAGAGCGAUAGCUGGCAUUUAUGGGGUUAACUGCGUCGGACAAAGCAGAGAGACGUGCGUCAUGACGUCACGGUGAAGCGGCGUUGCAGGUGCGCAUAACUGCGUGAUAAUUAGUGGGAGAGGAGAGAACGCACCGUUCGGUUGCACGAUUGAAAAAUAUCUAGAAGUAGUUAAAAGUAUCUAGAAGUAGUUGGAAAACACCGCGAGCUGACUCAACAGUCCACAGUUGAUGUUGCCCGCUCGGCGGUCAGGUUUUUGUGAAGGAUUUGAAUUGGUGACGCUCGAUGUCGAGGGGACAUCAGCGACACCGGUAGUCAACGAUAGAUAGGAGACCAGCACUGGAUAGCCACCAGGCAGCUUCCAGACAUCCGCUGGAGAUAACCAGAUGGCGAGCCGGAACUAAGGAACAGAGUCAACUGAACUACCUCCCAAACCUGCGGAGUGGUAGGAAACACAAAGAUCAAAGGGCCCCAACGAUAUAAACUGAGCUCAUAUCAAGGAAGAGAAGACCAUAAAGACAUUUCUUUAUAUUUCUAUUUUAUUUUGCGCGCAUUUUAUUAUUUUCCAUGUUGAAAAUUGUUGUUAACAAUACAGUUCUGAAACUAUGUUUUGUGUGAGUGUGGUCAGUGUUGAUGUUCCAUCCUGGGCUCCAUGAGCGUUAACCUAGAAUCCUGGUAACUGGUCCAACUUCGAAUUGAAACCCAAACCCAAAAAUACCUGUAACCUCAUAAGGCAAAGAGGGGUUACAGUAAGUGGCGAGCUAGCCAGGAGCCCAGUUAGGUGACAUCAAUAUUGCUUUAUUCAAACAUGGAUUUUAUCCAGAGGUCAAGUGUUAAAAUUCCCAACGCAGUCAUCGUUGAUGGAAUAACUGAGUCAGUUCAGGUUGAAGAAGUGAUUGAUUUCCUUAAGAAGUAUGGUGCCAUUCAGCGCACUCUUUUGGUUGAGGAUGAGUCUUCUGAUUUACACAAAAACCAGAUUGUCGAGUACGCUAGUGGCUCAGCUGUACAAGCUAUGCAGUCACUUUUACCAUACAGACACACACUAAAAAGUGAUUCAAAUGUUGUGUACAAUGUUGAGGCUUUAAGUAGUGUUUACACUUCUAAGCUAGGUAGCAGUGCUACAAAAACUUACCUGACAGAGCUAAAAGAGCUAGCAAAGCUAAGCGGCAAAGACUACGAAGCAGUCUUAAGAGAGAUGAUGAUGCAUAUCGGUAGUGAUGUUGAAAGCAUGCAAUCUGCAAACGAGCCGUCGCCUCUAGUACUCAGUGAGUUUCCUGUAGAGUCCCCACAGCCCACCAGUCCUUUCUCAGGUCCCCCUCAGGAUGACAGUGGUGAAAACAGUGCUAUGUCAGCACCAGUUGUUGAUCAAAGAAGAGUCCUAUCCCUUUCUGCGAGUGACAUCAAUCCACCAGAGGUUCAGAAAGUUGUGGUUGAACACAUUGUGAGGAGGGGGAUGCAGGUUCUUCCUCUUCAUACCCAGUCCGACUUCGCUCAUUUUCAGGGAAAAUUCCCAGACCGAAUAGUGAAGUGGACUAUGAUACUUGGCGUUCGCACAUUGACCUUCUCUUGAAUGAUCCCAGUAUGUCUCCUCUUCAAGUGUCUCGAAGGAUCUUGGAGAGUUUGCUUUCACCUGCAGCAGAUGUGGUAAGAGGCUUGUGCUCCAAUUCAUUGCCUUCAGCCUAUUUGCAACUUCUAGAUUCUGCUUUUGGUGCAGUUGAAGAUGGAGAAGAGCUGUUUGCUCAAUUCAUGAGUACUCUCCAGGAUCCAGGCGAGAAGCCAUCAGCUUACCUACAGCGGUUGCAGCUCACGCUCAACCAGGCUGUUAAGAGAGGGGGGGUCGUACCAGGGGAAGUAGGUAAACACCUCCUCAAACAGUUUUGUAGAGGAUGCUGGGACACUGCUCUGCUCUCUAGUUUACAACUUGAGCAGAAGAAAAAUCUUCCACCUCCGUUCUCAGAGCUUUUGCUAAUGCUACGUACUGAGGAGGACAGACAGGCAGUAAAAGCUAGUCGCAUGAGGAAGCAUGUAGGUUCCACAAGGCAGAGAGUUCAGCUCCAGUCACAAAGUAGCUGUAUUGUUGAGCCAACAGAGAACCCAGAGACCCAGCCCAGUGCUAUUGACGAUCUUAGGAAGCAGGUAGCUAGCCUCCAGAGUCAGCUAACCACCUUAAUGGCUCAGAGGACGCCUGGGGGGUUUAGUGAUAGAGGA
Long non-coding RNA from Gadus macrocephalus (Pacific cod), 2275 nucleotides. RefSeq lists it as uncharacterized. The record is from RefSeq and is a predicted model, not a curated record. NCBI's taxonomy places the organism in Eukaryota, Metazoa, Chordata, Actinopteri, Gadiformes, Gadidae. The transcript has 2 exons.